AAUCCUAGACCAGGAGUCCUUCCAUCUCUCUUCCAGAAAUCAAAAAGUGAUGGCUGGCUGACUGACCUCAGAGAAAUACAUUUAAAGACAUCAAGAAUGGUACACAAACAAGCCUGGACCGAGAGAAGGCAUCUAUCUCCUUCCAGAGAAGCUCCUCAGACAGCGCUGAUUCCGUGGCCUUGCUCUGUUACUGUCUCUGAAUGCAGACGCCUCACUGCCAGGGGCUGGGCACAGUUUCUGCGACCUCCAGCAGUGCGUGGUCUUUUGGUCACUCAAAUCCUGUCACUGACUUCAGAUGCUGCUCUUGUAGAUGUUUGAAUUGCCUUUAGCUCUCUAUGAAGAAUGUGCUGGCAAGGCCACGUAUGGAAAGACUGGGACAUAUGACAGAAUUACAGUCUAGUUAAAAAAGAAAAUAUGCACAUACAUAUAUGUGUAUUUGUUUCCAGAGGUCUUGGCUUUAAAGACGAGUUUGCAUAUAUUUGCCAUAAAUUUGCAUAUAUUUGGCACAAAUUUUCCUAGUCUGUUUGUCAGUCUCUACUUCCAGAUGAAGUUACAUGAGAACACCUUAUUUACUCUACAAUAACUUACGUUUUCCCCCUUGGACCCAUGUUACGUUAUAUUGGCUGUGUUACUAAUGUACCAAGUUCCCCUGGUUUAUCCUCCACUUCCGAGAAUUUGUUCUAGUUUUUAAGAAAUGCUUACUAACUAUAACCAUUGUUUGUUGUGGAACCCAGCCCUGAAGGACACCAGGAGGCCUCUGUGAACUGGCGGCUUCUGUUAGGUAUUGUCUGUAGAGACACUGGGUUCUCCAGAGACACCCCGCAGAGCCCUCCAAAAAGGAUUAGCUAGUAAAUUGGGCCUUUAAUUGUAUUUAUAUAAAUUAAACGUUAUGUUUAUAUUUAUAUGAGAAGGAUUAUAAUUAAAACUUAUAUGUGUAUAGAAAAGGAUUUUACCAAAGUACUGGAACCUGCAUCACGACUGUUCCCAAACGUAACGUUGGGGAUGUUAAUCACUGUUCAAGAACCAGUCACCAAGCCGACCGAUGUCACUGAGUGAGAGCCCAGGCGAGCUGCGUCUGCUCCCUGUUGCUGCUUCCUCUUCCGGAAAGUGAGGCUGUGACAGCGGCCUCUGUGUUUCCCACACCUCAGGAUCCAGGCAUCACCUUAAUAAGUUUUCCCACAUCCUUCUAUCACUUAUACUGUUAUUUACUUCAUGUUUUUCUGGAAUUUAAUAACUUUUAAAACUUAAAUUGGCAUCAUCUACCUUACCUUAGGCCUAAGCAAAGACAUCUGUGAAAUGACAGAUUUGAUGUACUCUUUCUUUCUUUUUUUGUACAUUAAAAUAAAUAUAUAACUCUCAAAAAUUGUAAAAGAUGCUCAUCUGUAUUCACUUGAGAUUUUCUCAGGUACCACUGCACUUUGAGAACUGCGGCCAAAAAGUGGAAUAAGACGCAUCAAGAGCUUGCUGCAGGCCUGGCCACAGCAGUACCGGCAGCUGUGCUUAUGGUCGCUGCGGUGGCCAAGAGAGCCCGUUUCCUACUGCAACAUUCUCCUGCCUUCACAGAGCAGAACGCUGGCUUUCACCUGGGCACAGAGCUAAAAAACUACAUUUCCCAGAAUUCCCUGCAGCUACAUAUAACCUUGGGACUAUGUUUUGGACUCUGAGACAUCACAAAAUCUUUGGUGAAAUUUCUGGGAAACCCCCUUAAGAAAGAGAAGGCAUAUAGUUCUGCAACUUCUUCCAUUUUGCUUACUCAGACUUGGAUAGGAAGGCAGCCGUCUCCAACCAUAAAGAUGAGGGCCGUCUCCCAGGAACGGCAGAACCCACAGCCAGAGGGGCUCAGCUCUUGAUCCUUGUAUGGGCUUGCCAUGGUAGCCCUGGACUGUUUAUCUCUGGACUUCAUUUACACAAGGGAGAAGAAAUAAACUUCUUGUUUAA
This is a long non-coding RNA of Equus quagga, 1938 nucleotides long. RefSeq lists it as uncharacterized. The record is from RefSeq and is a predicted model, not a curated record. NCBI's taxonomy places the organism in Eukaryota, Metazoa, Chordata, Mammalia, Perissodactyla, Equidae. The transcript is spliced from 2 exons.